AUGCUGGGGCAUCUAGUCGGGCUGGUGAAGGUGCGGGUGACGCGCGGGGUGAACCUCGCCAUCCGCGACCUCCGCUCCAGCGACCCCUACGUCGUCGUCCGCAUGGGCAAGCAGAAGCUGAAGACGCGAGUUGUAAGGAAGAGUAUCAAUCCGGAGUGGAACGAUGAACUGACCCUCUCCAUCGAAGAUCCUACCAUUCCUGUCAAACUGGACGUGUUCGACAAGGACACAUUCUUCGACGACCCGAUGGGCAACGCGGAGCUGGACAUCGGCCCGCUGGUGGAGGCCGCGAGGAUGAGGGUCCAGCUGCAGGGCGUCGCUGACAACACCGUGGUGAAGAAGCUGGUGCCCAACCGGCAGAACUGCCUCGCCGAGCAGAGCGCCAUCUACCUGUCCGAGGGCACGGUGAAGCAGGACGUGGUGCUCAGGCUGAGGAACGUCGAGUGCGGGGAGGUCGAGCUCCAGCUCCAGUGGAUCGACAUCCCCGGCUCCAAGGGCGUAUCAGGCUUUUAA
RNAcentral lists this ribosomal RNA (513 nucleotides) under Triticum aestivum (bread wheat). RNAcentral describes it as "partial small subunit ribosomal RNA". The record is from RNAcentral. Lineage: Eukaryota; Viridiplantae; Streptophyta; Magnoliopsida; Poales; Poaceae.